GAGUUUGAUCCUGGCUCAGGAUGAACGCUGGCGGCGUGCUUAACACAUGCAAGUCGAGCGAAGCGCUUACGACAGAACCUUCGGGGAAAGAUGUAAGGGACUGAGCGGCGGACGGGUGAGUAACGCGUGGGUAACCUGCCUCAUACAGGGGGAUAACAGUUGGAAACGGCUGCUAAUACCGCAUAAGCGCACAGUACCGCAUGGUACGGUGCGAAAAACUCCGGUGGUAUGAGAUGGACCCGCGUCUGAUUAGCUAGUUGGAGGGGUAACGGCCCACCAAGGCGACGAUCAGUAGCCGGCCUGAGAGGGUGAACGGCCACAUUGGGACUGAGACACGGCCCAGACUCCUACGGGAGGCAGCAGUGGGGAAUAUUGCACAAUGGGGGAAACCCUGAUGCAGCGACGCCGCGUGAAGGAAGAAGUAUCUCGGUAUGUAAACUUCUAUCAGCAGGGAAGAAAAUGACGGUACCUGACUAAGAAGCCCCGGCUAACUACGUGCCAGCCGCCGCGGUAAUUC
This 517-nucleotide ribosomal RNA is filed under the name uncultured bacterium. Its description in RNAcentral is "bacterial SSU rRNA". It matches the Rfam family "Bacterial small subunit ribosomal RNA", at positions 9 to 526 of the family's 1533-position model. The record is from RNAcentral.